GAUAGUGUUCAGUCAUGUUCAUCCCAUGGGGUUGUUUAAUUUGUACUGAAGGGUAGUGGGGAGAAUCUAUCAUAUGCUUUUUUUUAAUCUUACCAGAGAUGCAGGUUUUAUGCAUUGGAAUUAAUUUUGUGACAUGUUGCUGAUGAAGAAGAGCAAAUAUGGCAAAAACUGUAGCCAUAUUUGGAAACAUUUGAGGAAACACUCCAAUACAUGACAAAGAAACAUAUCACAUGGUUUUGUUACACCUCUUCAAAUAUACCAACAAAAGGGUUUUUCAGGGAUUGCCACUAGGAAGUUUCAAGUAAAUGUGAUUGGCUGUUUACAGAAGCAAGGCCAUAACUUUCAAAGUCAGCAUAAUGAAGUCAAGUUAUUAACGUUUUGACAGCCAGCAAAAAGACACACAGUGUAUUUUUUAUACCCAGUUGAAAUAAUUGCAAUUGUCAAUGAUUAAAUACUUGCAUUCAACAGCAGAUUGAGAAAUAUUUCCUUCUCCAUUUCUGUGAGCUCUUCCAGGAUGUGCUGGGUGAGACAGGUUCGAGUUGGAUGGACAGUGCUACAGAGUAAUACCCUCUGUGAGAGACAACAGGCAGUGGGAGCUGAGGUCUGCCGGGGUCUCCUGAGAAGACACUUUCAGUUCUGGCAGAGCCCUGUUUUAGUCUGUUGGGCCUUUACUCCCACUGAGGGCAGAGAGAGUCUCCCUGAUGCCUUUGUUGGAUGCUGAUCUGGAAUCAGUCUGCACAUGGCCUUUCCUUUUGAAGGCAAAGUACACUUUUAUUUGCCAAAGUUAACAAACAGCAGCAUCAGAACCUAUCCCUGAACAGUUUGAGACUUUAGCCUCUCCAUUCCCUCUGUUGGAUGGAAUGGAUCCACUCCACUGCCUUCUGAGCCAAAGCCUGCAGCCCUUCUACUGGAUUUAUUUAGUGGUGCCUUUUAUUUCAAGGAGAAGUAUGAACUGAGUAAAACUUGAGGGAGAACUGAUGGAUUCACCCCAGAGACAGCAGAAGGAUGUUCUUCACUUCUCAGACUUCUUUAGGAGUGACGGGACAGGCUGCCCUGUGUGGAUCCUCUUUGCAGACGGACAUGACCAGCGGAAAAUGGAGGUGCAUUUCUGAGGGGCAAAUCAGGGGAAACCCACUGCCAGUGACUCUACAGACUAAAAGGUUAGCUGUGUAGAUACCAGGGUAUCAAAGGGCCUGUAGGACGAGGCAUUGGUGGAAAUUGAAAUUAAGUGUUUUGUUUGUCAUCUCUAUGGACACGAGGCCACAAAGCACCACGAAGAGAAGCUGACCAUGGAAUCUCUGGAGCUGGAAAUGCCACAGACUCAGGGCCUUGUUUCUGUAGCUGCCAUGAGUUACACUGCUCAAAGACCUUUUCCUCAUGUCCACAGCUAAUUUUUCCUGGUUAAAUACGAUUGAAGGAUUGUACUCAUUGACUGUUACACAUCAGAGAUUGAUCUGUGGCUGCAUUAACUGACUGUGUUCCCAUGGAUCUUUGUAUUCCUGCACGUUCUGAGAGCUGCUACUCCAAAGUGAAGCCAACUUUUCCUUAUCAUCCCUAUUUUUAAAGCAUGGGCUCAUUGUUUGAUCUGGCAGAUUUCAUUUCAGUGCUCUGAGGUUUAGAGAGGCUGUUUCUAAUACAAAGCCUUAUUGCCACCCCCCUGCUGUACAUGUUUCACUUGAACUUUUCAUAAGUACUGCAAAACUUGAGGGAAGUAAGCAAAGCGUAGGUGGUGCUGAAGUCCAACACUUCGAUCACGAUCCAUUUCUGCAGACAUGCUGCUUCAUUCCCAUCUACAGGGGAAUCUAUUCCCACCUGUAAUCUCCUAUUGAAAGCAAUUAUUUGAUAUCACAAACUUUUUAAACACAUCUGAA
Molecule: long non-coding RNA, 1871 nt
Organism: Pseudopipra pipra
Lineage: Eukaryota; Metazoa; Chordata; Aves; Passeriformes; Pipridae
Exons: 5
Source: RefSeq, a predicted model, not a curated record